GGCGGUUCUCAAGUGAUGCACCCCGGAAUCGGGCUCCCUCCUCUCCAGUUCCCGGUUUUCAUCACCCAAGAACCGCA
Non-coding RNA from Myotis davidii, 77 nucleotides. The record is from Rfam. Lineage: Eukaryota; Metazoa; Chordata; Mammalia; Chiroptera; Vespertilionidae.